Molecule: unclassified non-coding RNA, 400 nt
Filed under: Hevea brasiliensis (rubber tree)
Lineage: Eukaryota; Viridiplantae; Streptophyta; Magnoliopsida; Malpighiales; Euphorbiaceae
Source: RNAcentral
GAAAGAAACUUGGAUAAGGUAUCAAAAUAGUCUUCUUGGCCAAACUCUCACAUGUGGAUUAGAGCAGUGGUAAAUAAGUGCAGGGUUGGCAUUGCACUGCGCUGCAAAAACUCUUUCGCAAGUAUAUUUGUUCAUCUCAGUUCAACAUGCAACAAAUAUAAAUGCCAAAGAGUUUUUAUAGCACUGCACUUAUUUACCAAUGAAAUUACCAUUUUAGGCACAAUUUUCCUACAUUCAAAUCCAUUACACUUUACCUGCGUCCAGGCUAAAAAAUUGCAGUCUUUUAUUAUUUAUGUGAUCAAUUUUAAUAAUAUAUUUAAUUUUUGCCAUCCAAAUAAAGUAAAAGGCGAAUGCCCCCUGGCAACACAAACAUAUUAUGCUGCAUAUUUACCAUGAAAAC